Papaver somniferum (opium poppy) is the source of this 1747-nucleotide long non-coding RNA. RefSeq lists it as uncharacterized. The transcript has 6 exons. Lineage: Eukaryota; Viridiplantae; Streptophyta; Magnoliopsida; Ranunculales; Papaveraceae. The record is from RefSeq and is a predicted model, not a curated record.
UCCUUCUCCCUGUGAAUUUUUCUUUUUCUAAUACCACCACCAUCGUUAUCAUCAACAUCAAAACCAAACCCUUAGUAUUGUCGUUGAGGAAUAAUGGUAUCGUCAUUACCAGCAUAUGAACAAUUUCUUCUGCUUUUUUAUUUCACUUUUGUGAAGUAAACCCUAGAUUCAGAUUUGUUUUCUUCUCCUUUUGAUUUUUUCCGCUCAAAAUCUUUAGCCCGAUUACCAAUCUAGGUCGGAUUCAUCCUCAUCAUGCUAUUUUCUGGAUUUUUUCCCUCCUAUGGAAACUCUAAUUUGUUCACAAUAAAUUACAAUUUUUGACCUAGUGAGGGAAAUCGGAAUUAAUCCGAUUGCAAGCGAAGCUGUGUUCUAACCAGGAUGAGAUGAUCAUGUUAGCCAGGUUCUAUGAACCCUACAAGGGAAUUGGAGAGUGUUUUGGAUGAAUAAUCAAGGAAGAAAGAUUUGGGUCAUUGUGGAGAGGAAACAUAGCCAGUGUCAUGCGUUACUUUCCUUCGAGUUUGUUGUUUAAUUUAACCUAAUUAUGUUCUCAUAUUCUGGAUUAUUGAAGCUUAAUCACUAACUUGUUUUAAAAUCUGUAAGGCUUUGAACUUUGCAUUCAAGGAUAACUUCAAGAGGCUCUUUAGUUUCAAGAAGGACAAAGAUGGUUACUGGAAUUGAUUUGCUUGUAACUUGGCAUCUGGAGGUGCUGCCGGUGCUUCUUCAGGACGCUGUAUCCAUCUUGCCAGCCUUUCACUAAGGAUAGUUGUCAUCUACCACCAAAUGAAUUCCUGUUACAACAGCAAUGUCUUUGAUAUCCUACUUCCAUGAACCAAAGAGCUAUCCCUGCUCACAAAUUGGAAUGUGUUGUGCUUCAGUUUAUGACUAUCUUUUCCUUACUUUGUCAAUUUAUUCAGUAGUUUAGACAAGGACAUGACAUUUUCUGUUACACUACAUAUCCUGGAAAAAAAAAGUUUCUAUUUGUUUUCCUGUUCCAUUGUAAACUAAAAAAAAUGCUCUCACUGACUCAUAUUAUUUUAUGUUAGUAAAUCCUCUGGGUGUACUAUGAGUUAUAAGGUUGAUUAAACCGUUUUCUGUUACAGAGAAUACAAGCUGGUGCUGUGAAAGUUCUUUCAAUGUUGUGCAUUGUGGCAGAGAAUGCACAGCCAUAUCUGUUUGGAAGUGUAUGCUGUUUUCCGAUGAUGCACAGUUUCAGGUCAAGAACUUGAGGAGGAGGUCUUACCAUAAUAGCUCUGCCUACAUAAGAAUGCUCAUGAUUUUAUCCCCUAAACAUCGUACCAUGGUUGGUUUUUUAAUUUCAGUAUGAUAGAGGGAACCAUCUUGCCAGCGAAUCACAAAGCUAGUUUGAGGUGGAGGAUUGCUAAGGACAACACAUUGAGGAACUUAGGUGCAGUCCUCCAGAUGAGGAGGGGAAAGUUUCCUGUAGGCUUAGCAGAAGGGGCGCUCUGAGCACUUUGCUUGCAAGCACUAGGUCAGAGACACUCUCAGGCCUAUCUAAUUGAAUACAUACCAAAGGAACAAAGGGACUGUGAAAGUGAGAGCCUAGCAUGUACAAAUUCAGGUCCUGCUCAUAAUUGGCGACCUUGGCUAAAAGUGGGGAGUGAAUUUUAGAUUGUUAUAGCAUGUUUUGAAAUGUAGGAAAUGUUUCUAUACUUGCCAUUCAUUUGAUACUUCACACUUAAUGUCUCUAGUAACUUUUGAUACUUUGUUUGUUAUAUAGCUGAAUUGA